RNAcentral lists this ribosomal RNA (465 nucleotides) under Vreelandella stevensii. RNAcentral describes it as "partial 16S ribosomal RNA". It matches the Rfam family "Bacterial small subunit ribosomal RNA", at positions 338 to 795 of the family's 1533-position model. The record is from RNAcentral. Lineage: Bacteria; Pseudomonadati; Pseudomonadota; Gammaproteobacteria; Oceanospirillales; Halomonadaceae.
CCUACGGGAGGCAGCAGUGGGGAAUAUUGGACAAUGGGCGAAAGCCUGAUCCAGCCAUGCCGCGUGUGUGAAGAAGGCCUUCGGGUUGUAAAGCACUUUCAGUGGGGAAGAAAGCCUUGGGGCUAAUACCCUCGAGGAAGGACAUCACCCACAGAAGAAGCACCAGCUAACUCCGUGCCAGCAGCCGCGGUAAUACGGAGGGUGCGAGCGUUAAUCGGAAUUACUGGGCGUAAAGCGCGCGUAGGCGGUCUGAUAAGCCGGUUGUGAAAGCCCCGGGCUCAACCUGGGAACGGCAUCCGGAACUGUCAGGCUAGAGUGCAGGAGAGGAAGGUAGAAUUCCCGGUGUAGCGGUGAAAUGCGUAGAGAUCGGGAGGAAUACCAGUGGCGAAGGCGGCCUUCUGGACUGACACUGACGCUGAGGUGCGAAAGCGUGGGUAGCAAACAGGAUUAGAUACCCCUGUAGUC